Molecule: non-coding RNA, 5456 nt
Organism: Petromyzon marinus (sea lamprey)
Lineage: Eukaryota; Metazoa; Chordata; Hyperoartia; Petromyzontiformes; Petromyzontidae
Source: RefSeq, a predicted model, not a curated record
UUCCAUUUUGUAAUGGCGCGCGUGCUGCACGGUGAGGCGUGCAGGGAUGAUUUCGCUCGCGUUGCUAUUUAUUUCCGUCCACGUUACUCCGUUGUUGUCACCGCGUUCACACAUGCUGUCGAUUGUGUUAACUUUGUAAUGCGUUGCGUAGCGCGUUGGUUAAAGUGGUCUUAACUUGAUUACCCGGCGUUUGGUUUGUGUUAUCCAACGGAGGCCUUUCUGAAUAGGCCGCGUAUUUUCGGGUGAAAAUGUUCAACGUUUAAAGUGGAACUUUACUUUGUUUUCAAGCUAUAUAUUUACACGUCGCAUCCACACAGUGUGUUUAUACAAACUAUAGUCCGUUCAUGUUUGCACUCAAGUUUCGUUCGUGGAAGUUUUAGUCGCGGCACUAUCCAUAUGAUUCUGGAAUUUCCGCCUUUUGAUUUUGAGCAUUUUAUUUUAUCACAAAUAUGUACAACAGCAAGGUAGCGGUGGACAUUUUAUUUUGGGGAAGCGUGAUUUAAAUAAUAGCGCUGCGGUAUGUUCGGCAGAUAAUGUUUAUCGAAAUAAAAAAAUGUUACAUGUCCAGUAUCUAAAACCGCUACGAUAAGCUUUUUUUUGCCCGUGUUGGAUAAUGGUAGCAGUACGCUUUGAACGUGAGCUCUCUAUUACCCGUGGCUGUCGCCCCUCGCCUGGCCCCACUGACCCAUGGGGUCUGGCAUGCGUGUGGCCACGGAGAGAAACACCCGUGAAGGGAGAGGAAUCUGCCGACAGGACUCGUGGAGACGUGGGGCAACCUGUGCGAUGGCUCCUCACAUGCGAGCGCGUGCACACACACACGAACACACAAACGCAAUUCCCCACAACGUAUUUCACACACAUCAACCCCCACACGCAGUUCGUGAAUUGAACUAAAAUUGAGCUCGAGAUAAGAGCCCAGCCCAGUCCGUGAUGACAAACACUGCGCAAAUCUGACGCGCUUCGGUGCCGUGUGAUCUAAUGGACUAUUGUACCUGAGACUGGGCUGUGUGUAUCCAAGGGCUGAAUUGAAACUAGGGAUACUGCAUGAUUUGCCAAAGACGUCUAAAUUGCUUGAUUGUCGAGAUUCUAAACUCGUUUGUACUGUAUAUCAUUUCAGGCUGUUCGUGGCUUUAUUGACUGGAGAGAGGGGGGCCAUUCCAGCUCAAGAAAUCCGGAGAUUCUCACAAGAUUCGUAUAUGUUUUGUCGUGGAAGAUAUAGAUGAAAUAUGAAACGGGCCAUUUUUUUUACUCUGUAAAGAGCUACCGAGAUGCACAGAGACCACUCUAUGCAUUCUCUCAAAUUUCGGUCCACCUGAUGACGACUGCGUGUGUUGCAAUCGAAGCGUCGUAUUUUAUUUAUUUAUUUUAUUUCUACGUGACUUUACCGAAAGAACCAGAGAGUGAUUCCUGCAGUCACGAAAGCUUCAAAUCAAGUUUGAACUACGACACAGAUUCAGCGGCUGCUGCACACUAACGUCCUCCUUCCCCCACGUCCCCUGUCCCCGUCUCAGCCGAACAAGGUGAGCCUGAGCGCGAAACUUUAUGAAGAUUGAAGCCUCUAAACACGUCUUAUCUACUGUGUUUGCCACAUGAUAACUUUACAAAACAAAAAGUAAUCUACACGCUUCAAAAAUUACAAAAUCAGUUUGCCGUGUGUGUUCUGUGAAGUGACAGUGCUGCUGCUACGAUCGAUGCUGUCAAACUUGGCGUUCUUAAUGUGAAUAAAAUGCCCCAGAAAAAAAUAAUAUAAAAUUGAAUAAAACAUGUGUCUGUAGUAACCAUUGGCUAUAAGGAGUUUACAAAAUAUAGAUAAAUAUUUUAUAUUAAGAAAACUAAACAGGCCAAUAAAAAUAAUAUGGUUAUUAUUACGUGUGUGUGUUUUGACUUAGACAGAUGCAGUCAGCUUUAUUGUCUGUACCUCGUUCUACUAAUGACCCAGUCCUCUCAGUGUCAGGUAAGGUGAACAUGGUCAGCUACCAAGGUAGUAAAAACUAAUUAAGUUUUGGAUUGUCUAAUUUCUUGUGUUGUAUAGUUAUGUUUCAUAUAAUAUUAUUCAACAAUGAAGUUAAGAAAAUAUUAAUUCUAAGCUGUAACUUGCUGUUGACUGGGGGACAAAAUUAUUUUGCUAUCCUAACCCCACAGAAACAAGAGAGACGGAGAGUUUUGCCAGGAAAGAGUGUGGAAGUUGAGGAAGCGGUGAGAAUAGUGGAAUAUGAGAGCACAGAGGGAGCCCUAAGUGUAAAGGAAGAUAACAGAAGAGAGGAAGAUGAGAGAACAGGGGAAGCCAUGAGAGCAGACUCAGAGGAAGAUGAGAGAACAGGGGAAGCCAUGAGAGCAGACUCAGAGGAAGAUGAGACUUGUGUCAAAUGAUCCUGGUUUGUGGCCAGCAAAAAUUAGCAAUGCAGACAGAAAAAAUUGUGGAAAAAAUAGCUUCUAAAGAUAAAGAACAAGAAAUGCCACAUGAUUCAAAAGGUAAAGCCUUCCCCGAAUACCUGAAGUACACAAAGUCAGGAAAUUACAGGGAAAAGAUUAAGAGAGACUGGGUCAUUUACAGCCAAAGCACAAAUGCACUAUUUUGUAUUCCUUGUGUAGUAUUUGGUCAUGAGCUAAAGAAACCUUGUAUGAGCACACUAAGCAGUCAACAUGGUUAUAAAAUCAAAGACAUAACAUGGCGUCGAAUGUAUGAUAAAUUCCCUAACCACGAAAGCAGCAAAGCACACAGGGAGUGCUACUUAAAAUGGAAAACCUUACAACAGUCUGUAAUGGCAGCUGUCCCUGGGGGAAUAGACAGCAAGCUGAAGAAGCUCAUACAAACAGAAAUAGACAAAAAUAGAGCUAUUCUGAAGAGGAUACUAGAUGUAACCUUGUUCUUGGCCUCUCGAAAUUUACCCUUUAGGGGUAAAAAAAAGACUUGGGGGACAUUCAUAAUGGCAACUUCUUGGGCACCCUUGAGCUGCUGUCCCAUUAUGACCCACUACCCAACGACCAUCUACAAAAAGUCAGACAAAAAAACAGGAACAAGAUUGACACUAUUUAAGCUCAGAUAUUCAGAAGGAAUUUAUUGAGUUAUGUGGAAAACGAGUGUUAAGUAGUAUUCUUAAGGAAAGGGAGGAAUCAGUCUAUUAUUCAGUCAUUUGUGAUGCUACUCCUGAUAUUUCACAUACAGAGCAAAAUGUAUUACUCUUACGAUAUGUAGGUUUUGAUCAAGAAAUGGGAGGUUGUUGAAAGGUUUUUGGAGUUUAAAGAUUUUCACAAAAAAAACAGGAAGUGAGAUUGCAGACAUGAUUGUAAAUGUGCUUAACAGUCAUGGCAUAGAUCUGAAUGACUGCAGGGGCCAAGGCUAUGAUAAUGGGGCAAACAUGUCUGGAAAAAUCAAGGGGGUUCAAGCCCAAUUAUUAAAAAUAAUAAGCUGGCUACUUUUUCCCCUUGUGCGUCUCAUACUCUGAACCUUGUUGGUGUGCAUGCUGCUCAAUCAAGUCCAAAGGUUACCAACUUUUUUGGCUUUGUCAAUUGCCUUUAUGCACUUGUUAGUGCCAGCCCAGAGCGAUGGGCCAUCUAUAAGGCAAAAACGGGUUGCACUUUACAUCGUCUGUCAGACACUCGGUGGAGUGCAAGGGUUAAGGCCGUUCAACCUAUAGCCAAGCACCUGCCCAGUGUCCUAGACGCUCUUGAUGCCAUCCUCUCAACCUGCAGUCUGACACCAGAGGCUCGGUCUGAAGCCAGCGGCCUAAAAAAGUAUUUUGAAACUUUUGAUACUGUUUUUCUGUUGACUGUUUGGGUCAAAGUUCUGCAAGCCAUUGACAAAAGGAAUAUUAUUCUCCAGUCAGGGAAAUUAACUCUUGAGACAGGCAGAAAAUAUCAGAGCAUUGCAGGAAGAGAUGCAACAUCUGAGGGAUGAAUGGGAGAGUUUCUUUUCUGAAGCAUCACUUGUUGCUCAACAGAUGAGCAUUAACCCUCUGUUCAGGUCAGGAUUCAGCCGCCAGAGGAAAAGAAAACGGUUUCACGAUGAGGCAGAGGUAGAGGGAGCAAGGGAGCACAGUGCAGACACCAUAUUCAGAAACACUGUUUCUUCCCAUGAUGGACCACAUAAUCAAUGACUUAAGUACCAGGUUUGCCACAACAGCUGAGAUCUUGGAUCAGUUUUCUGUAGUUGUAAAAAUGGGUCCGUUACGCGAUGAUCAAAUCCAUUCUGUAUGCCAGCCAUUGAUUUCAAAAUACAACACUGAUCUGACUUGUGAAUUUGAAGAUGAAGUCAGACACCUCAACUCUGUAUAUAGGGCCACUUUCCCAGGGUGUCUGUCACCAAUUUAUCUGCUCAACAGCAUUUACAAGAUGCAGCUGCAGAGUAUUUUUGGGCAGGUCUGCAUAGUUUUGCGAAUAUUUUGCACACUGCCUAUGACUGUUACUGGUGGCGAGAGAGCAUCCAGUAAGCUGAAACUAAUAAGAAAUUAUCUGAGGUCUAUGUUGCAGGAUAGACUUUGUCACCUUGCCAUACUAUCCAUUGAAAGCAAACUGGCAAGAAAGCUGAACUUUGAUUUGAUAAAUGAUUCUGCCAGCAGAAAGGCACGCCGCUGGGCGAUUAUAAAGUGAUGUUGAACAUAACUUUAUUAGACCUGGAUAACAAACAGUUGAUGUCUGGUUCAGUACUUGUUUAGUCCUGAACUGGUUUAGGCCUGGCAUUACUCCUGGUGUCUUCAUUUUGAGCCCUUUUGGCCUAGCUAGUUUUAUUCCUGGACUGAUUUAAUUAUGGGUUAGUUCUAGCUGAUGUUCCCUGAUUGAGCAGUUUGACCCAGCUAAAGCUUGUUCAUGUAAAGUAUGUCAAUAUGUGUACAUUGUUCUGUUGUGCUUGCAAUUGAGAUAAUAAAUGUUCUCCCUUUUAUGUAAACAAGUACAUAUUUCUAUAUUUUUUCUUGUUUUUGUAGGCUUUGUACUCAUCUUUAGACAUUUUAACUACGCAAUGUGCUAAGUAUCUUUUUUAAAGUAUACUGGGCAUGUUUAUUGGGUUAAAUUUUACCUGUAAAAAAUGUAGGGGGCCCAGAAAUUUUGGUUUCCAUAGGGCCCAGAAUUUCUGGCGGCACCCCUGCUUGGAGAAAAUAGAUGUCAAGAACGACUAAUGCAGGAAUGUAUGAGGAACGUCUUUGAUUUUAUGUAAAAGAUUGAGCAAAGAGCUCUUAGUAUUGAGAUGUACAGAACUGCUACAUUAGGCACCAAGUUUAGAUUACCUUUUAUCUUUAUUUUGAACCAUGGAAAUGCAUUUGCAACCUUUGCUCAGGCUGCUGGAACAAAGAACAAAAUUGUUUUGCGCUGGAUGUAUGAAUUUUUGGGGUUAUUUGACUUUGUAAACGUUUUCUGCACGUAAUGUAAUUAGAUUGUAUUUUGUACCCCAUUUCCCCGUUUAAAUGUUUUGUUUUCAUGGACAAUGUUCACUUGAUCAUUAUUAAAAGUUCAAAAGGCAA